This 169-nucleotide ribosomal RNA is filed under the name Teratosphaeriaceae sp. Its description in RNAcentral is "partial small subunit ribosomal RNA". It matches the Rfam family "Eukaryotic small subunit ribosomal RNA", at positions 1352 to 1544 of the family's 1831-position model. Lineage: Eukaryota; Fungi; Ascomycota; Dothideomycetes; Mycosphaerellales; Teratosphaeriaceae. The record is from RNAcentral.
UAAAUAGCCCCUCUCGCUUUGGCGGGUGGCAGGCUUCUUAGAGGGACUAUCGGCUCAAGCCGAUGGAAGUUUGAGGCAAUAACAGGUCUGUGAUGCCCUUAGAUAUCCUGGGCCGCACGCGCGCUACACUGACGGAGCCAACGAGUUUAGUCCUUGGCCGGAAGGCCUG